CCUACGGGAGGCAGCAGUGGGGAAUAUUGGGCAAUGGGCGCAAGCCUGACCCAGCAACGCCGCGUGAAGGAAGAAGGCUUUCGGGUUGUAAACUUCUUUUCUCAGGGACGAAGCAAGUGACGGUACCUGAGGAAUAAGCCACGGCUAACUACGUGCCAGCAGCCGCGGUAAUAGGUAGGUGGCAAGCGUUAUCCGGAUUUACUAGGUGUAAAGGGCGUGUAGGCGGGAAAGCAAGUCAGAUGUGAAAACCAUGGGCUCAACCUGUGGCCUGCAUUUGAAACUGUUUUUCUUGAGUGCUGGAGAGGCAGACGGAAUUCCUAGUGUAGCGGUGAAAUGCGUAGAUAUUAGGAGGAACACCAGUGGCGAAGGCGGUCUGCUGGACAGCAACUGACGCUGAGGCGCGAAAGCGUGGGGAGCAAACAGGAUUAGAUACCCGGGUAGUC
This 443-nucleotide ribosomal RNA is filed under the name uncultured bacterium. RNAcentral's name for it is "partial 16S ribosomal RNA". It matches the Rfam family "Bacterial small subunit ribosomal RNA", at positions 338 to 795 of the family's 1533-position model. The record is from RNAcentral.